Molecule: small RNA, 116 nt
Filed under: Treponema phagedenis
Lineage: Bacteria; Pseudomonadati; Spirochaetota; Spirochaetia; Treponematales; Treponemataceae
Description: TD-2 RNA
Rfam family: TD-2 RNA
About the family: non coding RNA found in Treponema denticola
Source: Rfam by way of RNAcentral
ACUGCCACGGAUGGCAGUGGUUCCAAACAGUAACGAUGUUUUAAAGCAGAGUAGUUUGCAAAGCUUUAAAACUCGCAAGGUGUAAUUUUGGCACGGACGGCAAAAUUACACCGACU